RNAcentral lists this transfer RNA (76 nucleotides) under Anaerolineae bacterium. Its description in RNAcentral is "tRNA-Lys". It matches the Rfam family "tRNA". From Rfam's summary of the family: Transfer RNA (tRNA) molecules are approximately 80 nucleotides in length. Their secondary structure includes four short double-helical elements and three loops (D, anti-codon, and T loops). Further hydrogen bonds mediate the characteristic L-shaped molecular structure. tRNAs have two regions of fundamental functional importance: the anti-codon, which is responsible for specific mRNA codon recognition, and the 3' end, to which the tRNAs corresponding amino acid is attached (by aminoacyl-tRNA synthetases). tRNAs cope with the degeneracy of the genetic code in two manners: having more than one tRNA (with a specific anti-codon) for a particular amino acid; and 'wobble' base-pairing, i.e. permitting non-standard base-pairing at the 3rd anti-codon position. The record is from RNAcentral. Lineage: Bacteria; Bacillati; Chloroflexota; Anaerolineae.
GGUUCCGUAGCUCAAUUGGCAGAGCAGUUGACUCUUAAUCAAUUGGUUCUGGGUUCGAGUCCCAGCGGAAUCACAA